CCUACGGGAGGCAGCAGUGGGGAAUUUUGGACAAUGGACGCAAGUCUGAUCCAGCCAUGCCGCGUGCGGGAAGAAGGCCUUCGGGUUGUAAACCGCUUUUGUCAGGGAAGAAACGGGUUUCUCUAAUACAGAGACCUAAUGACGGUACCUGAAGAAUAAGCACCGGCUAACUACGUGCCAGCAGCCGCGGUAAUACGUAGGGUGCAAGCGUUAAUCGGAAUUACUGGGCGUAAAGCGUGCGCAGGCGGUUAUGCAAGACAGAGGUGAAAUCCCCGGGCUCAACCUGGGAACUGCCUUUGUGACUGCAUAGCUAGAGUACGGUAGAGGGGGAUGGAAUUCCGCGUGUAGCAGUGAAAUGCGUAGAUAUGCGGAGGAACACCGAUGGCGAAGGCAAUCCCCUGGACCUGUACUGACGCUCAUGCACGAAAGCGUGGGGAGCAAACAGGAUUAGAUACCCUGGUAGUCCACGCCCUAAACGAUGUCAACUGGUUGUUGGGAGGGUUUCUUCUCAGUAACGAAGCUAACGCGUGAAGUUGACCGCCUGGGGAGUACGGCCGCAGGUUGAACGUUAAAUGAAUUGACGG
This 584-nucleotide ribosomal RNA is filed under the name uncultured bacterium. RNAcentral's name for it is "bacterial SSU rRNA". It matches the Rfam family "Bacterial small subunit ribosomal RNA", at positions 338 to 916 of the family's 1533-position model. The record is from RNAcentral.